AUGCCUCCUCCCCUGCUCAUCCCUUCAUCAUUGGACUUGGAGAGGACAGCCUCUUUAACACCUUGGUUAACUCCCUUUCAAGCCAAGGAAAGGAAGGAAGCCACACAUUCUACAGUUAAUUCCCCUUUUUCAUCCUUGCAUGCAUGCAUGCAUGAUGAUGCCACCACCACCAAAAAGAAUACACCAAGUAAUAAUCUCUCCACCAACAAGAUGCUAGCUAGGACUAGCUGUCGCACAAGAAAGAAUGGAAUAAUCAUCGGACAGCCGGCAAUAAUAAUGUAUGUACCCGCAAAACAAUCAAUAAUGUACUCCCUCCGUCCGGGUGUAUAA
RNAcentral lists this ribosomal RNA (330 nucleotides) under Triticum aestivum (bread wheat). Its description in RNAcentral is "partial small subunit ribosomal RNA". Lineage: Eukaryota; Viridiplantae; Streptophyta; Magnoliopsida; Poales; Poaceae. The record is from RNAcentral.